UGAAGAAUGCAUUCUAAUAUUAAUCUUUACGAGUGGCAAAUCAAAAUAUAUCAACAAGAAAAGAGAUACUGAAGGAUGAUGAGGUUGCUACCACAGAAUUACCAGAGAGACAAAAACUCCAACGUAAUCAAGAAACCAAACAACAAAAUGUCUAGAAAUUAAGCAUCACUUGCGAAAGAAAAAGGCAUACAUAUAUUGAGGGUAAGAGCACCCACAAGACUAGUGAUACAUAGCCUACUCCAUGACCACAAAAAGAAUCUUCAUGCAUUCUUGUCUUCAAAUAUUCUGCGAUUUCUUUCUUUCCUGAUCCCCCACAUCAUUAAGAAAGGGAACAUCUUUCAAAUCAACACCAGCGGCGAGAAUAAAAAGGACUGCUCAUGCAUCCCACCAAUAACUUAUGAAUUGACUGAUUAGAGGCCCAAGCAGAGGUUGAGAAGUGUGAAAAUAGUUCCUCACAAUCUAGUAGCUGUGCAAUGGAUAAAUAGGUGAGUCAUCGAUUCAUUCUCCUACAUAUGGAUAAAUAGGUGAGUCAUCGAAUCAUAUAUAUAUAUUUUUUUUUUGGUGGAGAAUUUUGAGUCAUCGAAUCAUUCUCCUACAUACUCAUAAAGCACACAUUUGGAAUGACAGCAUUCCUUUUCUUAAGAAUCAAGAUUAUUCACUGUGAGGAAGCGAUUGAAUUCCACAUAAAAGCUUGGACCCUAGUAGGAAGAAAGGAUUUCCAUACCAAUGCAAGCAAGGAGUGUCCCUUUAUCAAUCGCAUAUGGUCUGAUUUUCUCUCUCGUUUCGGAUUCAGCUGGUGCUUCCCAGAUUCAGCGGAUCUCCUUCUAAAAUCAUGGCAUGGGGUCAGCUUAGGCAAGCAGAGAACAAAGAUUGGAGAAUGGCUUUAAUCGCAAUCUGGUGGUGUGUCUGGGAAGAAAGAAAUGAGAGAUGUUUUCCGGAUUUGGAUCAUUCCGCUGAGUAUGUAUCUUGUAAGGCCAAGCGCACUUUGAUAGAAUGGGCUACUCAUGUUGUCUGCCUAAAGGGCAGCGGUUUUCUUUUUCUUGGAGUUUAGUUGGGCAUGCUUUCUCAGCGUCCCCUCUUCUCCCUUUUGUAUUUUGUUCCCUUUUUAAUAUAAUUCAGUGAUCUUUCAAAAAAAAAGGAGUGUGGGCCUCCCUUUUGGAUUAUAAGGCACCAAAAAUUGAUUUAGAAGUGAAAUUGCCAUUCUACAUCCACUUCUAGAUUUUCCUAUUGUCAACUGCUGGAUCAAUAUGACAUUUUAAAAAAGACGGAAAAAAAGAAAAGAAAAGAAAAGAAAAA
This is a long non-coding RNA of Magnolia sinica, 1296 nucleotides long. RefSeq lists it as uncharacterized. NCBI's taxonomy places the organism in Eukaryota, Viridiplantae, Streptophyta, Magnoliopsida, Magnoliales, Magnoliaceae. The record is from RefSeq and is a predicted model, not a curated record. The transcript has 2 exons.